UCCCGGCCAGCCGGAAAGUCGCCGCCGUCGUUCGUUGUACAGUUGCUGCACGCACGCACGCAGGCAGUGCCCAGUAAUCCACACACAGAAAACACCAUCGAUCCAGUACUCUCCCAGCGCAGCCCGUCCCGUCUCAUCCUCUUGGCUCGCCGCCGUCGUCUAAGCUCAAGGGUAGAUCGUUCUGGGGAUGAUGAUGUCGCCGAUGUUGUUGUGCCACGGGUCGGCGAGGUGGGUGGCCAGGUUCUCCAGCGGCCCCGUGCCGGGGUACGCCGACUGCUGCACGCAGAACCCCACGAACGCCAACAUCGCCAGCCGGCCUGCUCAUGCACGACGCCCAGAUAAUUCGCUAGUGUUCGCGGCACAUCAGGUGCUUAUUGGUUUCAGUACAAUGAAGAUCGAGGCCGGGAGGCUCGCUUACCGUUCUUGAUCUCCUUGAGCUUGUACUCCUCGAACUUGACGGGGUCCUUGGAGAAGCCGAGCGGGUCGAAGGCGCCGCCGGGGUACUUCUUCUUCUCGGGGUCCUUCUCCAUGGUGCGCUGGUGCUCGGCGAAGGCGAUGGCCACGAACUCGAUCACCAGGAUGGUGGGCAGCGAGCCCCACGGCACCGGGUUGCCCAGGUACGUGGCCUGGCCGCCGGGGACGGCCGCCCACUCCUGCGCCUUCACCCAGUUGCCAAGGCCCAGCGCCUCCGGCACCAAGAUCCCGGGCUGCGCAACCCAAACAAACAAUUGCAGAGGUCAGCUAGCUGGUCCGUGCCACGGCGUCACCAUGUUAGCAAGUAAUCAGCUGGGCGGCGUACCACGGCGAGCAUGGCCCAGCGGCAGUGGUAGACCUCGGACUCCUUGAACCGCUCGAAGUUCUCCGGCACGGUGGCGAGGCCGAGGGGGUCGAAGCCGAAGUCCCUGGGUAAAUUAAAGGCAUCGUCAGGUCAGAGAAUCUGCAGAGCACGCCGCUCCUCGACGCCGCCGCCGCUAGCUUACCCGGGGGAGGAGCCGUCGAGGUGGGCGGGGCGGGGCUGGCCGGGCAUCCACUCGGCGGACAUGGUGACGCGGCCGGAGGUGGUGGCGUUGGCGCAGAACGGCAGCCGGCCGGAGCGCGACGACGGCGCCAGCAGGCUGGGCACGCCCACGGCGCUGCAGCUCCGGAGCCCGCUCGACG
This 1158-nucleotide long non-coding RNA is filed under the name Panicum hallii. RNAcentral's name for it is "long non-coding RNA (PHAL_LNC000440)". Lineage: Eukaryota; Viridiplantae; Streptophyta; Magnoliopsida; Poales; Poaceae. The record is from RNAcentral.